CCUGUUGCAAAAGGAAGAGAGCAGCCCCAAGCAGCCAUAAUGCAUUCAGCCUAACAAGCAUGGGUGGAGUUGGGUCCACUCUUUCCAUCAAACCAAUAAAUAAAGUGACAAAUUGUACAUAGAAUUACUCAAAACCAUGAGUGCUAAAAUCAUCAACCUGAAAAUUCAUUUGCACUUCGACUGUAGGAGAUAUUGUUAGUAUCUU
This 205-nucleotide long non-coding RNA is filed under the name Phoenix dactylifera (date palm). Its description in RNAcentral is "long non-coding RNA (PDAC_LNC019727)". Lineage: Eukaryota; Viridiplantae; Streptophyta; Magnoliopsida; Arecales; Arecaceae. The record is from RNAcentral.